Non-coding RNA from Gorilla gorilla gorilla (western lowland gorilla), 148 nucleotides. It matches the Rfam family "Metazoan signal recognition particle RNA". Rfam says of the family: The signal recognition particle (SRP) is a universally conserved ribonucleoprotein. The record is from Rfam. Lineage: Eukaryota; Metazoa; Chordata; Mammalia; Primates; Hominidae.
GCCAGGCAUGGUGGCGUGUGCCUGUAGUCCCAGCUACUAGGGAGGCUGGGGUGGGGGGAUCUCUUGAGCCCAGGAACUCAAGGCUGCAGUGAGCUAUGAUCAUGCCACUGCACUCCAGCCUGGACAACAGAAUGAGACCCCAACUCUA